RNAcentral lists this ribosomal RNA (681 nucleotides) under Montenegrina cattaroensis cattaroensis. RNAcentral's name for it is "partial 12S ribosomal RNA". Lineage: Eukaryota; Metazoa; Mollusca; Gastropoda; Stylommatophora; Clausiliidae. The record is from RNAcentral.
ACACCGAAUUAAGUAAUUAUUCUUUAUUUAUUAAUUUAUUUAUAAUAAUACUUUCAAGUCCAUCUUAUAAAAAAUUUUAAAUUAUUUAACCGAAAAAGAAAUAUUAUUGUAACUCGCCUCAGUUCUCACUUAUUUGCUGCACUUUGAUUUGUAUUUUAUUUACUAUAAAUUUUUGAGCUUACCUAAGGUAAGCUCAAGGCAACGGUAUACAAGCUUUAUAUAGUGAGCAGAGUAUUCUUGGUGGUUAUCAAUUAUAUGGUAAGUUCCCCUAAAUAUUACAUUCAGCCGCCAUAAUGUUUAAGUUUGUGCUCUUUUAGUAUUAGUUCUUGUUUAAAAGUAAGUUAAUCUCCAUAUAGCUGGGUCUCUAAUCCAGGUUUAAUUUUGGAGGUUAUCAAAUAUUUAUUAUUAUUAAAUUUAAGUAAUCAUUAGUAUUUCACCACACAUUGAUUUUUAAUAUAAUUAUGAUUUCAAAACAAUUAAUGUAAAUUUAUCUACUAGGUAUGACCGCGGUUGCUGGCACCUAAUAAACCUAGGCUAAAUAAUUAUCUAAAUUUAAAUUUCUUUAAUAGUUUAAAAUUUUUAACUAGAACUUUUAUUUUUAUUCUAUAUUAAAUUAUACUAUACACUUACAAGCUUAUCACAUUAAAGUAAUAAAUCUAUGAGGGGUUUGGCCAUUUUAGG